AUGAUUUUUAACGUCGCCGGCCGGAGUGGAACCCACGCCUCGCAUCACGCCAGCGUCAGGUUCUGCAGCGUCCGCGGCAUCGGCGGCAUGUCGACGUGCACGACGCCCUCCAGCGCCUGCACGGCCUGCGCCAUGGUCGGCCGGUGCGCCUCCUGGUCCUGGAUGCACCAGCACGCCACCCUGCACGCCCGCUCCAGCUCCUCCGCCCUCACGUCGCCGCGCAGCCGCGGGUCCGCCACGGCGCCCCUGUCGGUGUUGCGUCGGCCCGAGAUGAGCUCGAAGAGUACCAUCCCGAAGCUGUACACGUCCGCCUUGGCGCUGAUGGGCAGCCCGGAGAUCCACUCCGGCGCCAGGUACCCGAUGGUGCCGCGCAUCGUCGUCAGGGCGCGGCUAAAGUCCCUCCCCACCAGCUUCGCCAUCCCGAAGUCGGCGAGCUUCACGCACAGGUCCCUGUCCAGCAGUAUGUUCUCCGGCUUCACGUCGCAGUGUAUGAUGCACUCGCGGCAGCCGUCGUGCAGGUACGCCAGCCCUCUGGCGACGCCGAGCAUGAUGCCAUAG
RNAcentral lists this ribosomal RNA (558 nucleotides) under Triticum aestivum (bread wheat). RNAcentral's name for it is "partial small subunit ribosomal RNA". The record is from RNAcentral. Lineage: Eukaryota; Viridiplantae; Streptophyta; Magnoliopsida; Poales; Poaceae.